This 499-nucleotide ribosomal RNA is filed under the name uncultured Sphingobacteriales bacterium. RNAcentral's name for it is "bacterial SSU rRNA". It matches the Rfam family "Bacterial small subunit ribosomal RNA", at positions 880 to 1382 of the family's 1533-position model. Lineage: Bacteria; Pseudomonadati; Bacteroidota; Sphingobacteriia; Sphingobacteriales. The record is from RNAcentral.
UUGCCAGCCCGCUCAGAAACUCAAAUGAAUUGACGGGGGCCCGCACAAGCGGUGGAGCAUGUGGUUUAAUUCGAUGAUACGCGAGGAACCUUACCUGGGCUCAAAUGUAUGUGUUACGAUUCUGAAAGGGAUACUUCUUCGGACAAUAUACAAGGUGCUGCAUGGUUGUCGUCAGCUCGUGCCGUGAGGUGUCGGGUUAAGUCCCAUAACGAGCGCAACCCCUACCUUUAGUUGCCAUCAGGUUAAGCUGGGGACUCUAAAGGAACUGCCUACGCAAGUAGUGAGGAAGGCGGGGAUGACGUCAAAUCAGCACGGCCCUUACGUCCAGGGCUACACACGUGCUACAAUGGCCGAUACAGAGGGCAGCUACCUGGUGACAGGAUGCAAAUCUCCAAAGUCGGUCUCAGUUCGGAUCGGAGUCUGCAACCCGACUCCGUGAAGUUGGAUUCGCUAGUAAUCGCGCAUCAGCCAUGGCGCGGUGAAUACGUUCCCGGGCCUU